This is a non-coding RNA of Podarcis lilfordi (Lilford's wall lizard), 692 nucleotides long. NCBI's taxonomy places the organism in Eukaryota, Metazoa, Chordata, Lepidosauria, Squamata, Lacertidae. The record is from the annotation of a GenBank genome assembly.
GGUUUCCAAGGGGUUGCUCGAGAGCAAGCGGGCAAAUACCUCCCUGCUCGGCCGUGAAGCCUUGCUUUUGAUGCAAAAUAAACUUUAUCUGUCCAGAGCACUACUCUCCCGUGGCUGACUGGCUGGAGGAGGUUGGAACUUGGUCUGAUCCACCAGGACUCUCCUUCUUGCAUCCUUAAGGGUGACCCUGAGACCAACAGAGUGGAAAGCAGUUCUGAGCCACGGGACCCAAUGUGCUGGGAGAUUCUGCCUCCUAAACCCCAUUGAAAUGAAGGAGCAGAGUUGGCACACAGCAGAAGUGUUGCGGGGAAGGAAAGGAUUUAAUUUUGCUACUGAACGAUUACUGAGCCACAGGAGAGCUGUAGCUCAGGGGUAGAGCAGAUGCUUUCCCUGCUGAGGCUCCUGGGUUCGAUUCCUGGCAUCUCCACGUACAACUGGAAACGAACCUGCCUGACACUUUUGAGAGCCACUGCCUCUUAGGGUAGACAAUACUGAGCUGGAGGGAUGCAGGGUCUGAGGGAGGGAAGCUUCCUGUAUCCCAUCUCCCAUCUCUCCCUUGCUUUGAUCUUGGCUGAGGAGGAAGGGUGGGAGAAAAGCAAUGUUAAACCUAGACAGCAUCUUAAAAAACAGAGACAUCACCUUGCUGACAAAGGUCCGUAUAGUUAAAGCUAUGCUUUUCCUAGUAGUGAUGU